RNAcentral lists this non-coding RNA (28 nucleotides) under Mus musculus (house mouse). The record is from RNAcentral. Lineage: Eukaryota; Metazoa; Chordata; Mammalia; Rodentia; Muridae.
GCCCUCAUCACAUGACCUCGGGGAGGAC